This 806-nucleotide ribosomal RNA is filed under the name uncultured Pseudomonadota bacterium. RNAcentral describes it as "bacterial SSU rRNA". It matches the Rfam family "Bacterial small subunit ribosomal RNA", at positions 69 to 793 of the family's 1533-position model. The record is from RNAcentral. Lineage: Bacteria; Pseudomonadati; Pseudomonadota.
GAAAGCCCGGGCAACUGGGUAAGUAGAGUGGCGCACGGGUGAGUAACACGUGGGUAACCUACCUUCGAGUGGGGAAUAACUCCUCGAAAGGGGAGCUAAUACCGCAUAAGACCACGACUUCUUCGGAGGUCGCGCUCAAAGGUGGCCUCAUCAAGCAGAGCGUUUGGGACGAUCUUCCCGAUGCGGAAGAUGGUCCUCAGCGCUUUGCACAGUGAAGCUGCCGCUUGAAGAGGGGCCCGCGGCCCAUCAGCUAGUUGGUAGGGUAACGGCCUACCAAGGCGACGACGGGUAGCUGGUCUAAGAGGACGACCAGCCACACGGGAAUUGAGAUACGGUCCCGACUCCUACGGGAGGCAGCAGUGGGGAAUCUUGGGCAAUGGGGGAAACCCUGACCCAGCGACGCCGCGUGGGGGAUGAAGGCCUUCGGGUUGUAAACCCCUGUUAGGUGGGACGAACACCCUCUUGCAAAUAGCAGGGGGGUCUGACGGUACCACCAGAGAAAGCCCCGGCUAACUCCGUGCCAGCAGCCGCGGUAAUACGGAGGGGGCUAGUGUUGUUCGGAAUUACUGGGCGUAAAGGGCGCGCAGGCGGCUUGGCAAGUCGAGUGUGAAAUCCCUUGGCUUAACUGAGGAAUGGCGCUCGAAACUACCUCGCUAGAGGACGGGAGAGGGAAGUGGAACUCUCGGUGUAGGGGUGAAAUCUGUAGAUAUCGAGAGGAACACCGGUGGCGAAGGCGGCUUCCUGGCCCGUAUCUGACGCUGAGGCGCGAAAGCGUGGGGAGCAAACAGGAUUAGAUACCCUGGUAG